UAUUGUGGAGACAUCUCUGGACCACUGCUAGUGCCUCUGUGGGUGUCAUAAUAGAAAUACAGCAGCCCUCAGGGACCAAGAAUGAGCCACUGGCAUCCCAGAAGCUUUCAACAGAGGGUCACAGAUAAGCACAGUUCCCACUACUCAUCAAAGGGGCUUCUUUUUGCGGCAGAUGGAGACCAUCAGCGAAAGUCACGACUGGUCAAACCACAGAGAACAAUUGACCCUGACCGUGAGGCAUCUGGAGCAAUAUUGAUGUUCAGAGAGUGCAGAUUGAAUGUGCCAGCAGGUAUUAAGUCCCAAGAAUAUGGAAUGAGAAGGCAGUGCCAUGGCCUUUGACAUCAUUUUGUAGUCGGGAAGGCCCAUCUUACACACAGUGACACAGGAAUGGGACAGGUGGUGUAGGGACCUCUGUACUAGUGUGGUCCUCGGUGGGAGAAGAGACAGCGGUGUGGAUGGAGCAGCAGCUGGGCGCACACCGUGGAUGGACAAAGCAAGGAGAGGAAGAACCAUGGUACCUCCCCAACACCAUGGGAGGGAAAAGGGUGCAUUGUGUCUCCUGAGAAGCCCUGGAUUGAGUUCUGAGUGAGAAAAGGAAGCUCCUGACCCCUGAUGCCUCUUUCACCAGGCAUGUUACUGUGUGUACAGCUGGAGAAAGAGGAUCCCUGGCCCCAGAUUUCCACAGCAUCAGGUUCACCACCCAUCAGAGAAUCUGAGGUAUUCACAGCUCUCUAGGCACCCUCUCUAGAGCAGCAUGGAGUGCCAGCUCUCUCCAUCAGCUCUGUGGUAAGGUGGGCCAGAAAGGAGGAGAAACAGCAGAUGUCCAAGGCAAGCAUCACGUGACAUACCCAGGUGCUCCCCUCCCUGGUCUCUCACCAGUGUUGCUCCGUGCUUGCUUCUGUGAGUCCAAAUGCACCAGGCUUUAAGUAUCUGUGGGCACAGAACUAACUGUCACCUCCUUUUGAGUCUCAUUCCUCAGGGACAUUGCAAGCUGACACACUGACAUGUGCCCACCACACUGCCUGGAUUCUCCAUACCAGCAUGUGUCUAUGUUAAUGGAUCCACUAAGUUCUCAAGGAUGGCAGUGCCCCACCAUGAUGCCAACUGGUGCUUCCUCCCGCAGAGGAAGAGGUUCUUAGGUCCUGCAUUUGAGUGGCCUUCCCAAGGACUCGAGGACUGCAGGAGACUUUCGGGUACUCAAUCUAAAUAUUUACCAAGAAUUCUGACCUACUGCUCAUUAUCCAAAUGAAUAGUAUUUUUUCUUUAAAAAAGUGAGAUUGUUUUCAUCCAGAAUCAGCUAUUAUUUGGAGUCCAAUCAGCGUGCAAUACAUCCUCACGUUUCCGAUGCUCGGGAUGACAGGUCUCUAUAGCUGGAUAUGGAAGAGCAUCUCUAUUCUACCACUUGAUUGCUAGGGGACCUCCACUACCUCACAAUCUCCCACAAUCCCACUGGACCUGGAAAUGCCACUGUCAUCUGGUGGACAGGAGCCCAAAGCCCAGUUAGAAGAGCCACAGUACCAAGACAGCCUCACAAUCAAGACCUGUCUGGGGAAAAGCACCAGUAAGGAGCCAGGUUGACUCUGGCCAAAGGGGCAUGGAGAACCUUGUCCAUAGCACACUGUGACUUUAAGGAGUGAACACGAAGGUGAGACGUGAUGGACAAAUGUCCCCAUAAGGACUGGAAACCACUCUCUCCUGGAGCAUUGUUCUACUCAGACCUCAUAACCUUAAUGCUCACUCUGAAGCCAACCAUGGAGAAGCCCCCAGAAGACAGGAGACAUACAUGGGCCUGGAGGCAUCAGCAUGACUCUGGACAGAUGCAUGCUCCAGAUAAACUGGAACGAGCUGCUUUAAGUAUGUUGCUAUUAGAAAUAAACAGUUCAACGUCA
Long non-coding RNA from Peromyscus eremicus (cactus mouse), 1889 nucleotides. RefSeq lists it as uncharacterized. The transcript is spliced from 12 exons. The record is from RefSeq and is a predicted model, not a curated record. Lineage: Eukaryota; Metazoa; Chordata; Mammalia; Rodentia; Cricetidae.